UGGGGAAUAUUGGACAAUGGGCGAAAGCCUGAUCCAGCCAUGCCGCGUGUGUGAAGAAGGUCUUCGGAUUGUAAAGCACUUUAAGUUGGGAGGAAGGGCAGUAAGCGAAUACCUUGCUGUUUUGACGUUACCGACAGAAUAAGCACCGGCUAACUCUGUGCCAGCAGCCGCGGUAAUACAGAGGGUGCAAGCGUUAAUCGGAAUUACUGGGCGUAAAGCGCGCGUAGGUGGUUCGUUAAGUUGAAUGUGGAAGCCCCGGGCUCAACCUGGGAACUGCAUCCAAAACUGGCGAGCUAGAGUAGGGCAGAGGGUGGUGGAAUUUCCUGUGUAGCGGUGAAAUGCGUAGAUAUAGGAAGGAACACCAGUGGCGAAGGCGACCACCUGGGAUCAUACUGACACUGAGGUGCGAAAGCGUGGGGAGCAAACAGG
RNAcentral lists this ribosomal RNA (429 nucleotides) under Pseudomonadota bacterium. RNAcentral describes it as "Proteobacteria bacterium partial 16S ribosomal RNA". It matches the Rfam family "Bacterial small subunit ribosomal RNA", at positions 355 to 776 of the family's 1533-position model. The record is from RNAcentral. Lineage: Bacteria; Pseudomonadati; Pseudomonadota.